RNAcentral lists this ribosomal RNA (445 nucleotides) under uncultured bacterium. RNAcentral's name for it is "partial 16S ribosomal RNA". It matches the Rfam family "Bacterial small subunit ribosomal RNA", at positions 354 to 796 of the family's 1533-position model. The record is from RNAcentral.
GUGAGGAAUAUUGGACAAUGGGCGCAAGCCUGAUCCAGCCAUGCCGCGUGCAGGAAGACGCAUCUAUGGUGUGUAAACUGCUUUUGUACGGGAAGAAACACUCCCUCGUGAGGGAGCUUGACGGUACCGUAAGAAUAAGGAUCGGCUAACUCCGUGCCAGCAGCCGCGGUAAUACGGAGGAUCCAAGCGUUAUCCGGAAUCAUUGGGUUUAAAGGGUCCGUAGGCGGUUUAAUAAGUCAGUGGUGAAAGACCAUCGCUCAACGAUGGAACGGCCAUUGAUACUGUUAGACUUGAAUUACAAGGAAGUAACUAGAAUAUGUAGUGUAGCGGUGAAAUGCUUAGAUAUUACAUGGAAUACCAAUUGCGAAGGCAGGUUACUACUUGUGGAUUGACGCUGAUGGACGAAAGCGUGGGGAGCGAACAGGAUUAGAAACCCGUGUAGUCC